UGCUAAAUGCUUCUUCCAACAAUUUGGAAAAGAAAAGAAACCCAAUAUUAUUAUAUACUACUUUCCAAAUGUAGUAGGGUAAGUAUCUGGACUUUUCAGUAUGUCUUAUUGAACUCUUUUGUUUCAGCAUCAUAUUACUUUAAUGAUAUGUGUGUUCACAUACACUUAUAUGUAUAUGAAUUUGUGUUGGGCUCAAACUUAGGACUUUAUGCAUACCAUACUAGUGGUCUACCAUUGAGCCCUGUCUUAAUUUUUAUAUAUAACUUCCUAAUUGCUUCAACUGUGCUUCUACUCUAUAUCCAUAUGCAAAUUCUCUGUCAUCAGCAAAAAACACUGCAGAACUCCAGAUAGUUAAAAAGACUUUGUAUUUUUAUUUAGGGUCAGCAGUGGAGAACAUAAUAUUAUUAGGCUUUUUGGAACCAGGAAGGGAAAAAUGAGAA
This 440-nucleotide long non-coding RNA is filed under the name Rattus norvegicus (Norway rat). RNAcentral describes it as "long non-coding RNA NONRATT002946". The record is from RNAcentral. Lineage: Eukaryota; Metazoa; Chordata; Mammalia; Rodentia; Muridae.